GACAGAGGGUGCAAACGUUGUUCGGAAUUACUGGGCGUAAAGCGCGUGUAGGCGGCUCGGCAAGUCGGAUGUGAAAGCCCUGGGCUUAACCUAGGAAGUGCAUUCGAAACUGCCAAGCUUGAGUUCUGGAGAGGAAGGCGGAAUUCUCGGUGUAGAGGUGAAAUUCGUAGAUAUCGAGAGGAACACCGGUGGCGAAGGCGGCCUUCUGGACAGCAACUGACGCUGAGGAGCGAAAGCGUGGGGAGCGAACAGG
Molecule: ribosomal RNA, 253 nt
Filed under: uncultured bacterium
Lineage: Bacteria
Description: partial 16S ribosomal RNA
Rfam family: Bacterial small subunit ribosomal RNA
Source: RNAcentral